Non-coding RNA from Paramuricea clavata, 298 nucleotides. The record is from the annotation of a GenBank genome assembly. Lineage: Eukaryota; Metazoa; Cnidaria; Anthozoa; Malacalcyonacea; Plexauridae.
GUUAAUUACAUCAUUAUUUAAAUGUAUUUGUUCUCUAUCUUUCAUUUUUUCAACGAAAUACUCUUACAACUUUGGUAAAUACAAUAUGAGUUUAUAUUGUCAAGUUUAGCUUUACCCAGCCAAUGACGUCACCAAAUAUAUUUAUGCAUAAAUUAGCAUACACGGUAUUUUCAAAAUGGCGGCUAAUCUUCAAGUUUGUAACGAAUUUUCUCUACAACUAAGUGCGAUAGAAAAACGAAAAUACGAAAUUAAGUAUUCCGUGGGGAAGCUUAAUAGAUAUAGGCAAUAAAAAUUUUGG